RNAcentral lists this ribosomal RNA (251 nucleotides) under uncultured prokaryote. RNAcentral's name for it is "partial 16S rRNA". It matches the Rfam family "Archaeal small subunit ribosomal RNA", at positions 475 to 726 of the family's 1478-position model. The record is from RNAcentral.
ACCAGCUCUCCGAGUGGUGUGGAUGUUUAUUGGGCCUAAAGCAUCCGUAGCUGGCUAGGUAAGUCCCUUGUUAAAUCCACCGAAUUAAUCGUUGGAUCGCGGGGGAUACUGCUUGGCUAGGGGACGAGAGAGGCAGACGGUAUUUUCGGGGUAGGGGUGGAAACCUAGAGGCCCGGGGAGACGAAUAGUGGCGGAGGCUGUCUGCUAGAACGCGCCCGCCGGUGAGCGAUGAAAUCUGGUGGACCGAAACG